CGGCAGCAAAUAAAUUAAAUAAUUUCAAAAUCAUUGAAGGCUCUGAAAUAUAUGUUCUAGCCUAUGCUCUAUAGCUUUCAUUUCACUUCAUUUACAAACUGAAAAUUGUCGAGCUCCGGUGAAAACAAACAUUUUUCCAACAAACAAAUUAAAAUUAAAAACUCAACCAUGAGUACCAGGUAAGAGCUCUCCCUAUAACCCUCUCCAGCAAUUUGUUAACCCUUCUAAACCACAGCACAAAUCAGCUUGGACUGCGGAUCUGUCAGCUUAUUCAGAGCCAAAGCCAGCCAAUUAACUAUGAACGACUUAUAUCUCUAAUCGAAGAAGGACAAAACGAGCCGUUGAAUACACAGGAAAUAACCAAAAUAAAUGCCGCAUUGCGAGCUGGCCUGCGCCGUGGCUUUUUUCAACGCGUUCGUGGAAAGUUUUCUGUGUCUCCCUGCCUUCAAUAAGUUUCAAGUAGAAAGAAGCACAAGAAGAUGAAGCUCAAACAGAAUCAAAAUUAAAGCAGAAUAAGCUGAAUAUAUUUGUUGAGAUUUGUAGUCAAAAAAUAUAAUUGUAAAUGUAUCUACCCCAAGUUCGAGACUUCUCCAAUCGCCUCACUGCAUCACCUUUAACUUCCACUUAAAUCACACGUUGAG
Molecule: long non-coding RNA, 641 nt
Filed under: Drosophila guanche
Lineage: Eukaryota; Metazoa; Arthropoda; Insecta; Diptera; Drosophilidae
Source: RNAcentral